RNAcentral lists this ribosomal RNA (590 nucleotides) under Debaryomyces hansenii. RNAcentral's name for it is "LSU rRNA". It matches the Rfam family "Eukaryotic large subunit ribosomal RNA", at positions 66 to 669 of the family's 3401-position model. The record is from RNAcentral. Lineage: Eukaryota; Fungi; Ascomycota; Pichiomycetes; Serinales; Debaryomycetaceae.
CAGGGGGUAUUGCCCUUAGUAACGGGCGGAGUGAAGCGGCAAAAGCUCAAAUUUGAAAUCUGGCACCUUCGGUGUCCGAGUUGUAAUUUGAAGAAGGUAACUUUGGAGUUGGCUCUUGUCUAUGUUCCUUGGAACAGGACGUCACAGAGGGUGAGAAUCCCGUGCGAUGAGAUGCCCAAUUCUAUGUAAAGUGCUUUCGAAGAGUCGAGUUGUUUGGGAAUGCAGCUCUAAGUGGGUGGUAAAUUCCAUCUAAAGCUAAAUAUUGGCGAGAGACCGAUAGCGAACAAGUACAGUGAUGGAAAGAUGAAAAGAACUUUGAAAAGAGAGUGAAAAAGUACGUGAAAUUGUUGAAAGGGAAGGGCUUGAGAUCAGACUUGGUAUUUUGCGAUCCUUUCCUUCUUGGUUGGGUUCCUCGCAGCUUACUGGGCCAGCAUCGGUUUGGAUGGUAGGAUAAUGACUAAGGAAUGUGGCUCUACUUCGGUGGAGUGUUAUAGCCUUGGUUGAUACUGCCUGUCUAGACCGAGGACUGCGUCUUUGACUAGGAUGCUGGCAUAAUGAUCUUAAGCCACCCGUCUUGAAACACGGACCCA